Molecule: ribosomal RNA, 443 nt
Filed under: uncultured bacterium
Lineage: Bacteria
Description: partial 16S ribosomal RNA
Rfam family: Bacterial small subunit ribosomal RNA
Source: RNAcentral
CCUACGGGAGGCAGCAGUGAGGAAUAUUGGGCAAUGGAGGAAACUCUGACCCAGCAACGCCGCGUGAAUGAUGAAGGUCUUCGGAUUGUAAAGUUCUUUUCUAAGGGAAGAAGAAAGUGACGGUAACUUAGUAAUAAGCCUCGGCUAACUACGUACCAGCAGCCGCGGUAAUACGUAGGCGGCGGGCGUUAUCCGGAAGUACUGGGCGUAAAGGGGGCGUAGGGGGGUUGGCAAGUUAGUAGCGUAACUCCAAGGCUCAACCUUGGAACUACUACUAAAACUGUUGUACUUGAGUGCAGGAGGGGCAACCGGAAUUCCUAGUGUAGCGGUAGAAUGCGUAGAUAUUAGGAGGAACACUAGUGGCGAAGGCGGGUUGCUAGACUGUAACUGACACUGAGGCACGAAAGCGUGGGGAGCAAACAGGAUUAGAUACCCUGGUAGUC